Molecule: long non-coding RNA, 1924 nt
Organism: Drosophila ficusphila
Lineage: Eukaryota; Metazoa; Arthropoda; Insecta; Diptera; Drosophilidae
Exons: 2
Source: RefSeq, a predicted model, not a curated record
UUUGUUAGUUGGGAUUAUUUUUUAUAAAAUACUUUUGAUGCUUAUAAUAAUCAAAAACAAUUCUUUUUUUAUUAUUUUGCAGAUUGCGGCUUGACGAAAAUAACUUGAAAAUCAUGACUCAGAUCAACCCGGAACUCCUUCCAAUUGUCCUUUUGGAAUUUCACAACUUUAUCAAAUGGAUUAAGCCGUUUACGCAGCCAGAUGGGGUGGAUUUUUGUUUCUCAAAAAAGAAAACAAUUUCAAGCACCGACUAAACGAUUUCUAAUCCAACACGAAAUGGUGCAUACUUACAUAUGGACCAUUAACAGAAACCCGUAAAUCCGAACUUGUGCUGUUUUAUAUCUGUUACAAGACCGGCAUUAUGGGAGUCUGUCAAUGCAAACAACUGGUUUUUGGCAGCAAAAUCAAAUGACAGAUCAAUUAAAUGUAAAAAUUGUGGAGUAUGGAUAACACGUGGGUUUAAAGCGCUAUUAAACAUACAAAAUCACAUAAUGAAACAAAAUAACUAUAACAACGAAUAAUAUAAAAAAAUAUAUGCAGUGCAAAACAGGAACAAAAACACCAAAUUAAUUAUAAUAAAAAUAAAUUAAUAUAACUUUUUAUAUAAAUAAAAUGUGUGUACAUCUGAAAUAACUCAAUACCAAUAAUUUAUUUAUAAGGAAAAAUGUUUAAAUCGUGUUGAAAUGAACCUCAAAAUAUUAAAAAAAUUAAAUGCAUUUAAAAAAUUUUUAAGUAAGUCAUGUAUAAAAUUUCAAAGACAGCAUAGGUAUCAAACUUUAAUAUGAUUUCUCCCCAUUAUUAUUGUUUUUGUUCGCCAUCAUCUUAUCAUCCAAAAACCUAUAAAACGACCCAGAAAAUCCUUUAAAAACCAAACCACCCAGCAAAAAGGACUACACCAAGGACCUUUUUCUCUCUGGCAAAUUGAGGUAGUAGGUUGUAUAGUAGUAACUACAAAUCAUACUAUACAAUGUGCUAGCUUUCUUUGCUUGACUACAAGCCGCAAUUGAUUAAAACUCCCAAUCGAACUUCACCGCCAACCAAAACCCAUUCCCAGCCAUACAAAAGUUGGCGGUGCAAGAAAAGUUGAUUGUGGACAACAAGAAAAGUGUUCUAAGCCAGACUUUCACUGAACUUCAUUAAGAAUGCCUCGGAUAUAGAAAUUCAACACACGGCAUAUGUAAAUAUUGGCAUUAGUGACAUGUGCAAAUGUUUGUAUGGCUGAUUCCCUGAGACCCUAACUUGUGACUUUUAAUACCAGUUUCACAAGUUUUGAUCUCCGGUAUUGGACGCAAACUUGCUGAUGUUAAUAAAAAAAGGCAAAAACUAUAGCUGAUCGAGGGAAGUAUUAUCGGAACUACUAAACUAUUCUUUAAAAGGUAAAAGCUUACGAACAAUUAUACAAGAUCACAAGCUCUAAGAUUCAAGUUUCUUUUACAGAAAGAUGUGGUUCUGCUGGUUUUAAAUGGUGAGAGGAUCCUAUUUUAACACCUUUGGAAUAACAUUUGGAUUGGUUGGUACUCAAGACAUUCACUGGAUUAUAUAAUUUUGUAUUAAGCAAAAAAAAAAAAGGAUUGUUUCAAGUAUCAAAUUUUUCCAAGAUAUUUUUGGAAAAAUAUUUCUUUUAAUUUUGCAUACGAUUUUAGUAUGAUAUUUCUUUAUUAUUUUUUUUAACUGAUUUUAGUAUGAUAUUUCUUUAUUAUUUUUUUUUUUUAACUGAUUUUGUUUUUUCCCCAAAUAACAAAUAACGUUUAGAUCAGUUGCCUAUAAAAAAUCUUUAUUGUAAAGCCAUUGACUUCAACAGAACUAUUACUGAAACCACACAUCAUACAUAUACAUACAUAAUUUUGAUGUAUUUAAGCUACAAACUACUCCUAAGUUCUAGAGAUACAAUGUGAGAGGAUUGUGAAUAAACUGAUAAAAAGUA